Molecule: ribosomal RNA, 418 nt
Filed under: uncultured eukaryote
Lineage: Eukaryota
Description: partial 18S ribosomal RNA
Rfam family: Eukaryotic small subunit ribosomal RNA
Source: RNAcentral
CAUGAGUGUAUAUUAGAUUUGUUGUAGUUAAAAAGCUCGUAGUCGGAAAUAAGAAUAUUUUGAUAAUGAAAGCGGGCGCUGUUAUGACAAAUGUCGUUUCAGUGCCACUUUCAAUUUCGAUAUUCUUUUAACGGGAAAUUAGACCUGCACUUGUGCAACUAUUUUCUCUUUUUACUUUGAAAAAAUUAGAGUGUUCAAAGCAAGGAGUUUUCUUAUGAAACAUCUUAACCUUUUGAAUAGUCCAGCAUGGGAUAAUGAAACAAGACCUUUUUUUGAUUUUAUUGGUUCUGCAAAGUUUUAUUGGUAAUGAUUAAGAGGGACAGUUGGGGAUAUUUGUAUUUCGCAGCUAGAGGUGAAAUUCUUGGAUUUGCGAAGGACAGACUUCUGCGAAAGCAUUUAUCAAGGAUGUUUUCAUUGA